This is a non-coding RNA of Chiloscyllium plagiosum (whitespotted bambooshark), 662 nucleotides long. Lineage: Eukaryota; Metazoa; Chordata; Chondrichthyes; Orectolobiformes; Hemiscylliidae. The record is from RefSeq and is a predicted model, not a curated record.
CCAGUACCGAGGGAGCGCCACACUGUCGGUGUGUCAAUGCUGAGGGAGCGCCGCACUGAAAAACAGUGUGUGUCUGUGGUUUGGGUCGUUCCGGAGGUUAAGCUAGUGUGUAAAAUGAUGAAGAUUUCUCCGGUACAGUUAGUGCAACAUGGUCUCUCGGGCUGGUUUUCUUUUCUGUUUGGAUUCAGUUGCUUAUUUGUUGUUUUUGUUUUGCAGUUUCUUUUGGAUUGUUCAUUCUUGUGUUCCAUCCUGACGCCUUUGUUUGAUGAUCAGAUCUUCUGUCCCCUGCAUGUUCCCAUGGUUGUGCAACGUGAAAGCACUGUGGGAGUGUUUCAGCAGCAGCAGUGCUUUUCGUUGGUUCAGUCAGUUUUACUGGACAGAGCCCUCUCUGAACCACAGCAGGACCUGCCUUCCAGCACACUGUCAGGUUAACAUCCAUCAGCUGGAGAGAGUGGUACCUCUCAGGCCAGUACCAUCAGCCCUGAGAUGACAUUCAGUGAGAUGAUGAGAAUAUGAAUCUUCAGCUAAGCACCAGCUCCUGAUUAGCUCCAUCGCUGACCUGUGACACAUACCAGGGGGCACCGCUGGGGUUCAGCCUCGGGCAGUCGCAGGAUUCCGAGGAACUGUUCGCUACGCAUCUGUCAAUGCUCACAAAAACCGAG